This 797-nucleotide ribosomal RNA is filed under the name uncultured bacterium. Its description in RNAcentral is "bacterial SSU rRNA". It matches the Rfam family "Bacterial small subunit ribosomal RNA", at positions 28 to 818 of the family's 1533-position model. The record is from RNAcentral.
AUUGAACGCUGGCGGCAUGCCUAACACAUGCAAGUCGAACGGUAACAGGUCUUCGGAUGCUGACGAGUGGCGGACGGGUGAGUAAUGCGUAGGAAUCUGUCUUUUAGUGGGGGACAACCCAGGGAAACUUGGGCUAAUACCGCAUGAGCCCUGAGGGGGAAAGCGGGGGAUCUUCGGACCUCGCGCUAAGGGAAGAGCCUACGUCUGAUUAGCUAGUUGGUAGGGUAAAGGCCUACCAAGGCGACGAUCAGUAGCUGGUCUGAGAGGACGACCAGCCACACUGGGACUGAGACACGGCCCAGACUCCUACGGGAGGCAGCAGUGGGGAAUUUUUCGCAAUGGGGGCAACCCUGACGAAGCAAUGCCGCGUGGAUGAAGAAGGCCUUCGGGUUGUAAAGUCCUUUCGUGGGGGGACGAAAAGGCGGGUCCUAAUACGAUCUGCUGUUGACGUGAACCCAAGAAAGAAGCACCGGCUAACUCCGUGCCAGCAGCCGCGGUAAUACGGGGGGUGCAAGCGUUAAUCGGAAUCACUGGGGCGUAAAGGGUGCGUAGGCGGUACGUUAGGUCUGUCGUGAAAUCCCCGGGCUCAACCUGGGAAUGGCGGUAGAAACCGGCGCACUAGAGUAUGGGAGAGGGUGGUGGAAUUCCAAGUGUAGCGGUGAAAUGCGUAGAGAUCUGGGAGGAACAUCAGUGGCGAAAGCCGGCCACCUGGCCCAAUACUGACGCUGAGGCACGAAAGCGUGGGGAGCAAACAGGAUUAGAUACCCUGGUAGUCCACGCCCUAACGAUGAAUACUA